CAAGGAAUAGUUUAAAGGUAGAAUACCAGCUUUGGGUGUUGGUGGUGGGGCUAGUGCUUCUUCCUUGAUU
This 70-nucleotide transfer RNA is filed under the name Talpa occidentalis (Iberian mole). Its description in RNAcentral is "tRNA-Pro". It matches the Rfam family "tRNA". From Rfam's summary of the family: Transfer RNA (tRNA) molecules are approximately 80 nucleotides in length. The record is from RNAcentral. Lineage: Eukaryota; Metazoa; Chordata; Mammalia; Eulipotyphla; Talpidae.